GUUGAAGUCGACUCUAUACGGUUGAAAAUAAAAGUCUUUUUCUAGCGGUGGAUCGAUAUGACAUUGUCAUAUUGUCUAUUGAAACUAUUGGAAAAUAUCAACAUUAUGUAUUACGUUUUCAGUCGGCAAUUUUAAAAUAUAAAGGUUUACUAUUGUCAUUUGCAAAUGCCUCCCAAAAAGCAACCGGAGAAAGGAGGAAAAGCGGGUGGGAAUGCAAAAGCUAGUGGUAAAUCGGGUGGCGAUGCUAAAGAAUCGGCGUCAAAAGAAAAGAAAGGUGGAACAGCUGUCAAAGUGCGUCACAUACUGUGCGAGAAGCAGUCAAAAUGCUUGGAAGCUUUGGAAAAAUUAAAAGCCGGUCAAAAAUUCCCGGAUGUAGCAGCCGCGUACAGUGAGGAUAAGGCACGACAAGGCGGGGACCUCGGCUGGAUGACCCGGGGUUCUAUGGUGGGUCCAUUUCAGGAUGCUGCAUUUGCCUUGCCUAUAUCAUCAGUGACAAGUCCAGUGUAUACUGACCCACCAAUAAAAACCAAGUUUGGCUACCACAUCAUAAUGGUAGAAGGGAAAAAAUGACCGACAUGGUGUUUGAGUUUGAAUAUUUCUGGGCGAUACUUUUAUUGUUUGUUAUGGAGAGGAUAUGUUGCUUGCAGGAGCAAUUUGACAAGGACUUUAUAUUGUUACCUGAUCCACAGAGAUCUAAUGAGUCCUUUGAUUUAGAUAUGGAGGACUUUGCUAAUAGAGAUUUUGGUUUAAAGCUCAGUUUCCUCCGGUUGUGUCGGAUAAUGCAUGUGUCAAUGUUGCUGACACUAAUUUACUUCUGCAAUGUAUCCCUUUGGUUUAUAAUGAGCAAAAAAGCAUCACCCAGAAAUAUGAGAUACAAAUUCAGAGUGACCAUGCCUUGAUGCUUUUGUUAUAAAAUAUUAUGAUAUUACAACUUUGAUGCAUUUAUAUAUUAUUAACAAACAAAGCCUUAAUUAUACUUAAUUAGGAAGGUAGUGGUUCUCUUGGAUGUGAUAUCCUAUUUUCGAUUUAUUGUACAUAAAUGCUUUGAAUAAAUACAUCAUUGUGAAUGCAUUUUGUAAGGAAAUAAAACAUUGAUUUAAAAUUUGUUAUA
RNAcentral lists this unclassified non-coding RNA (1111 nucleotides) under Manduca sexta (tobacco hornworm). RNAcentral's name for it is "peptidyl-prolyl cis-trans isomerase NIMA-interacting 4, transcript variant X1". The record is from RNAcentral. Lineage: Eukaryota; Metazoa; Arthropoda; Insecta; Lepidoptera; Sphingidae.